AAUUCGGAUUCGAAAGUCGUCGAUGCGCAGGCCGGCAUCGAGACCGCCAUAAGCAUCCUGCAAGCGAGUUACGCAGGUGUCAACUUCAUGUACGAUUCGG
Molecule: non-coding RNA, 100 nt
Organism: Euryarchaeota archaeon RBG_13_57_23
Lineage: Archaea; Methanobacteriati; Methanobacteriota
Source: Rfam